AACACAUGCAAGUCGAACGGUAACAGGUCUUCGGAUGCUGACGAGUGGCGGACGGGUGAGUAGUGCGUAGGAAUCUGUCUUUUAGUGGGGGACAACCCAGGGAAACUUGGGCUAAUACCGCAUGAGCCCUGAGGGGGAAAGCGGGGGAUCUUCGGACCUCGCGCUAAGAGAGGAGCCUACGUCCGAUUAGCUAGUUGGCGGGGUAAAGGCCCACCAAGGCGACGAUCGGUAGCUGGUCUGAGAGGACGACCAGCCACACUGAGACUGAGACACGGCCCAGACUCCUACGGGAGGCAGCAGUGGGGAAUUUUUCGCAAUGGGGGCAACACUGACGAAGCAAUGCCGCGUGGAUGAAGAAGGCCUUCGGGUUGUAAAGUCCUUUCGUGGAGGACGAAAAGGUGGGUUCUAAUACAAUCUGCUAUUGACGUGAAUCCAAGAAGAAGCACCGGCUAACUCCGUGCCAGCCGCCGCGGUAAUAC
RNAcentral lists this ribosomal RNA (479 nucleotides) under uncultured bacterium. RNAcentral describes it as "bacterial SSU rRNA". It matches the Rfam family "Bacterial small subunit ribosomal RNA", at positions 50 to 526 of the family's 1533-position model. The record is from RNAcentral.